Molecule: ribosomal RNA, 468 nt
Filed under: uncultured bacterium
Lineage: Bacteria
Description: partial 16S ribosomal RNA
Rfam family: Bacterial small subunit ribosomal RNA
Source: RNAcentral
GACGAACGCUGGCGGCGUGCUUAACACAUGCAAGUCGAACGGAAAGGCUCCAGCUUGCUGGAGUACUCGAGUGGCGAACGGGUGAGUAACACGUGGGUGAUCUGCCCUGCACUUCGGGAUAAGCCUGGGAAACUGGGUCUAAUACCGGAUAGGACCGCACGUUGGAGUGUGUGGUGGAAAGGUUUUUCUGGUGUGGGAUGAGCUCGCGGCCUAUCAGGUUGUUGGUGGGGUAAUGGCCUACCAAGACGGCGACGGGUAGCCGGCCUGAGAGGGUGGACGGUCACAUUGGGACUGAGAUACGGCCCAGACUCCUACGGGAGGCAGCAGUGGGGAAUAUUGCACAAUGGGGGAAACCCUGAUGCAGCGACGCCGCGUGGGGGAUGAAGGCCUUCGGGUUGUAAACUCCUUUCGCUAGGGACGAAGCUUUUUGUGACGGUACCUGGAGAAGAAGCACCGGCUAACUACGUG